UUCCCUCAAAUCCAUAGCUUCCAAAAAAUCCACGUCUUCCAGGAAAUCUGUGUCUUCCAGCAAAUCCAUGUCUUCCAACAAAGCCAUGUCUUCCAGACUAUCCACGUCUUCCAGAAAAUCCUUGUCUUCCCUCAAAUCCAUAGCUUCCGAAAAAUCCAGGUCUUCCAGGAAAUCUGUGUCUUCCAGCAAAUGCACGUCUUCCAACAAAGCCAUGUCUUCCAUCAAAUUAAUGUCUUCCAGCCUACCUGUGUCUUCCAACAAAGGUCUUCCAGCAUCUCCAGGGCUUCCAGCAUCUGCUCGUCUUCCAACAUCUCCCCGUCUUCCAGCAUCUCUGUGUCUUCCAGCAUCUUCAUGUCUUCCAACAACUACCCAGUCUUCCAUCAACUGGCUCAAUAUCCAUGUCUUCCAACGUCUCCAGUGUGCUGAUCUUCUAACAUUCAGGUCUUCCAGUGUCUGCAAUAUCCAGGUAUUCUAACAUAUUCUAUAGUCCAGAUCUUCCAACCUUUCCCCAGGUCCAGGCCUUUUCAAAUCUAGGCUUCCCCUGUCUGAGCCUUCCCAUGUUAAAAUCACUCUACAGAAAAAUCUUCCAACUCAACUAUUUCUGCUUCUAGUUGAAUUAGCUUCAAAAACAUUUAAUGGGACAUUCCUCCUUAUAGACCAGAUCUUACUGCAGUUUGUGUUUUUUACAAUUAGGCAAUGUGUAUUUAAUCUCUACAACUUUUAAAAAUAAUGUCCACAAUAAAACUUCUGCAGAAUAAACAGAUAGGACUGCUGCAAUAAAUUUUACUACUUCACUAGUGCUUACAGUUUUUAUACAGUUGACUAUGUUUAGGUCUAAGUGAAAUUUUUAUUUAAUGAGAAAAAUUCCUGUUUAAGACUGGUAUUUUAGGUAAAGUUAACAUGUAGUGUAUUAUUUGUCCAUUUUAAAUGAUAUCAAUUUUUAACGUUGGUCUUAUGUGACCAAAGAAUAAUAUAAUAAUAAUAACAACAACACUUAACAUAGCAUUUGCUACGUCCAGGCACUGUUCUAAGAUCCUUACAUGCAUUAACUCAUUUAAUCUUCACAACAACCCAUUGAAGCUAGGUACCAUCAUUAUCCCUAUUUUACAGAUGAGGAAACUGGCACACAGAGGUGAAGUAAAUUGUCCACAGGACACAACUACUAAAUAAUGGAGCCGGACCUGGCUAGCCUGUUGUGAGAGUCCAUGAUUGUAACCACUAUGUUGUGAUAUCUGCUGUUUAAAAUCAUGAUAGAAUGAUGUGAUCCAAAGGUUGACUGCUUCCACAUUAUGUGUAGAAUAUUAUACAAUUCCAUAUACAAAUGGUCUCGCUUGAUCCUGUCACUGCCAGAGUCUAUUUGUAUGCACAGCUUUUAUUCCCCAACCAGCUACUACCAUUCCCUUGGUCCUGUAUAUGGAAGUAGGUGCAAACACUUUCUGAUACCAUAAGGAAGCAGAGUUCAAUUACCCUUUGCUUCAGAAUCAUAUUCAUAGCUCCAUGCUUUGAGUACUGGUGCUUGGAAUUUAUCUCUUCUAUCUGUUUGAAUCCCUUAUUACUGACUAUUCUCCAGUUUGUACCUUACUAUGUGGAGCACUUACCUUUAGUUUGUUUCUAACCUCCAGCAUCUACCUGCUUCCUGGGUUCCUGAUCACUGCGUUGUAUCCAACUAAUGGUAGCUACAACUCCUUAAAUCGCAGCAUGCUGAUCUAGAGAACUAACUACUUGGUUCUCUAAGUCUCAGCUCCCACCAGGUACCUUCAGCAAUGUUGCUACCCAGGCCUCUGGCUGACGUGAAAACCAUGAAAACCACAUAAUUAAAUUUUUACAGUUAGGCAGGGACUCUCUAAAGAUUUAAAAUCAUCUAUAAUGUAACAAAAAGGAACAAUAAUAAUAAUACCAAUUAAAAUAGAAAUACUUUCUGAAUGUCUAAUGAUUUAUACUUUAUAGAGUGCUGUCACCUCAUUCAUUCAUUCAUUCAUUCAACAAAUAUUUAUUGAGCGCUAACUGUAUGCCAGGUUUGUUUUGAUAAAGCUUAAAAUCAUCUGUGGGAAACAAACGUACAGAUAAUCGAAAAAUUACUUAUCAAUUGUAAGGCCAUGAAGAAAAAGUAACCGAGAGUCUGGAAAAUCAAGGAAAGCAUUCCUAAAGAAGUAAUAUUUAUUGUGACUCUGAAGAAUCUGUAUUCUCAUUUGGUUCUCACAAUAUAGCCUUGUGACUUAAAUAAAAAAGAUUUUUAUAUAUCAGUUUUACUAAUCUGAGUGCUAACAAUAGCCAUGGGACCCAGCUGUU
Non-coding RNA from Chlorocebus sabaeus (green monkey), 2289 nucleotides. The record is from RefSeq and is a predicted model, not a curated record. NCBI's taxonomy places the organism in Eukaryota, Metazoa, Chordata, Mammalia, Primates, Cercopithecidae.